RNAcentral lists this transfer RNA (86 nucleotides) under Clostridiales bacterium. RNAcentral's name for it is "tRNA-Leu". It matches the Rfam family "tRNA". Rfam says of the family: Transfer RNA (tRNA) molecules are approximately 80 nucleotides in length. Their secondary structure includes four short double-helical elements and three loops (D, anti-codon, and T loops). Lineage: Bacteria; Bacillati; Bacillota; Clostridia; Eubacteriales. The record is from RNAcentral.
GCUGGUGUGAUGAAAUGGCAGACAUAGUGGACUUAAAAUCCACAGGUGGCAACACCGUGCCGGUUCGAGUCCGGCCACCAGCACCA